AGUAGGAUAAGCUAAAUUUGAAGCUGUCGGGUUCAUACCCCGAAUAUGACACUAAGGUAUCUCCUAUUA
This 69-nucleotide transfer RNA is filed under the name Steromphala umbilicaris. Its description in RNAcentral is "tRNA-Met". The record is from RNAcentral. Lineage: Eukaryota; Metazoa; Mollusca; Gastropoda; Trochida; Trochidae.